Long non-coding RNA from Cryptomeria japonica (Japanese cedar), 2198 nucleotides. RefSeq lists it as uncharacterized. Lineage: Eukaryota; Viridiplantae; Streptophyta; Pinopsida; Cupressales; Cupressaceae. The transcript is spliced from 10 exons. The record is from RefSeq and is a predicted model, not a curated record.
AUGAACUGUUCGUCUUUGUUUCUUGUGAAUUUCGUGUGCUACUCCACUUCCUGAUAGAAUUGAUUUCUGAAGUCAUGUGGACUGGGCGAUCGGGGUUCAAGCUCAAUUAUGAUUUGCUGGUUCUUGUUAGAAGAGAUGAUAGAUAAUUGCAACUGCUCCGAGGCUCAUUAAAUCCUCCUCUCCUUUAGAAUUCUAAAAUAUAACUACACCAAACAUGUUGCGGACAAAUUUGUCUGCAAGUGAAAACUGUAGACCUGCUUCCUGGUCCAAGAUCCAUGUACUACCUAAUUAUUGUCCACUUGGUGUUCUCUUCAAUCAAGACACAAGCGAUGCUCAGUUGGAUCAGAGAGUCAAAAGCUAGUCCAAUGAAGCUUUCUCCAUUGCUAAAAGAAUUGUCUAUGAAAUCUGGUUCAAUUCCAUAAAUCGGCUUCCACCAAUAGAAAGACCAGGCUAUCAUUAAGGUAUGAAAGAUCAGGAGAGGCUGGAGAGAUUUUGGUUAUGGAUUUCUUCGUGAGUACAGUGGGUACAUUGAAAGAAGACUCCUUUCGUUACUGCCUAUACUAUUCUGUCCAUUCUAGCUGUGGAAAGAGUUUCUUGCUAUGUGUCUGAUGCUGACCUUUGAAACCAUGCCAAUUUAAGUGGGUGCCUUUCUGCAAAAAAAUUAACAUCAAGUCUCGCCCUGCUGAGUUUUAUUUCUCCCAAAAGAUUGAUUACUUGAAGGACGAGUGCAACCGAAUUUUGUUAAGGAGAAUCAAGAUAGAAUUGAUUUCUAAAGCUCAUUUAUGAUUUGCUGGUUCUUGUCAGAAGAGAUGAUAGAUAUAUGCAACUGCUCCGAGGCUCAUUAAAUCCUCCUCUCCUUUAGAAUUCUAAAAUAUAACUACACCAAACAUGUUGCGGACAAAUUUGUCUGCAAGUGAAAACUGUAGACCUGCUUCCUGGUCCAAGAUCCAUGUACUACCUAAUUAUUGUCCACUUGGUGUUCUCUUCAAUCAAGACACAAGCGAUGCCCAGUUGGAUCAGAGUCCAGGAAUCAAUUUCGGAAGCAUUCAAAUGCGCAUCUGUAUAACAUUUGGCACGGCUAUUUAUUUUCAAAUUAAGUCCAGGAAUCAAUUUCGGAAGCAUUCAAAUUCAUUACCAGUUCUUUUUGUUUUUGUCUCCACUGUGUUUUCUCUGUUCUCAUGUAAUGACGGAAGAGUCAAAAGCUAGUCCAAUGAAAUGUUGUUUUGAUCUAUAAGCUCAUCAGGAGGAGGGAAGCUUUCUCCAUUGCUAAAAGAAUUGUCUAUGAAAUCUGGUUCAAUUCCAUAAAUGAGCUUCCACCAAUAGAAAGACCAGGCUAUCAUUAAGGUAUGAAAGAUCAGGAGAGGCUGGGGAAAUUUUGGUUGUGGAUUUCUUCGUGAGUACAGUGGGUACUUUGAAAGAAGAAUCCUUUCGCUACUGCCUAUACUAUUCUGUCCAUUCUAGCUGUGGAAAGAGAUUCUUGCCAUGUGUCCGAAACCAUGCCAAUUUAAGUGGGUGCCAUUCUGCAAAAAAAUUAACAUCAAGCCUCGCCCUUCUGAGUUUUAUUUCUCCCAAAAGAUUGAUUACUUUAAAGACAAGUGCAACCGAACUUUGUUAAGGAGAAUCAAGGGGCAUGCACUUGUUGGAUGGAACCCCGAAUUUGGGAUUGCUCUGACCAGCUCUUUAAGGCUUUUAAUUCAUAGAAGUGGACACUGGACAGUUUUAAGAAAUAUGGAGAAGUGGAGUCCCGUAGAGGCACUAUUAUCAGCAAAUCUGUAAAUGGGUUCUGAAUGUAACAUAUGAGUGAGAGGUUGGCAUUUAAUGAUUUCUAAAUUGGGUGCCUUCUAGAGGCUGUGCGUAGCAUUUUAGAGGGGAGUUUUUAGGAGUGUGUUUUCUGUUUUGGGGGCGGGGGAAUUUUUUUAGUGAGAAAGAUAGAGAGUGGGGAAUGGUUUUUGGUUUGAAAGGUUUAACUUGUUGGUUGCAGGUGUAGCUUUAGGAUGAGAGUUUGAAAGAAGGCUUUUGAGAAGUCAUUAUAUGCCGGUAUAAACAUCACAAAUCAAAUGAAAAUAUUGUAAAGUGAAGUCAAUAGAUUCAUUAUUUUGUAAUGCAGAUUUGUUUUGAGUUUCAAUAAAAAGUUCUGAAGUUUGUGCUUCAGUUCAUUGUCAAUUUUAUCUAUUUUGUUGUUAUACAUUUGAAAUUUG